AAGGGAAAAAAGCUACUGCCCUUACAACAUAGAUGUGAAAUUAUUAACUGUUGUAUCACUAUUACUACAUAAUGCACAUCCUCUUGCAACUAAUGCUGAAAUCCCCUAGGCUCCUACUGCCAGCAAGAAGUCCAUGGACUAGUACAUUUUGUGACUUGUACAUGCACUGGGAGUCAUUUAUGUGCUACAGAGUUCAGCCUUUCUACAAAUCAUUCUUGCUCAUAUAACAUGAGUUAUAUUGAUAAUUUAACAUUUCUGUGGGCACCUAACAUGAUAGUUUUUCAAUCCUUU
Molecule: unclassified non-coding RNA, 291 nt
Filed under: Hevea brasiliensis (rubber tree)
Lineage: Eukaryota; Viridiplantae; Streptophyta; Magnoliopsida; Malpighiales; Euphorbiaceae
Source: RNAcentral